AGUGAACGCUGGCGGUAGGCCUAACACAUGCAAGUCGAACGGCAGCACAGUAAGAGCUUGCUCUUACGGGUGGCGAGUGGCGGACGGGUGAGGAAUACAUCGGAAUCUACUUUUUCGUGGGUGAUAACGUAGGGAAACUUACGCUACUACCGCAUACUACCUACGGGUGAAAGCAGGGGAUCUUCGGACCUUGCGCGACUGAAUGAGCCGAUGUCGGAUUAGCUAGUUGGCGGGGUAAAGGCCCACCAAGGCGACGCUCCGUAGCUGGUCUGAGAGGAUGAUCAGCCACACUGGAACUGAGACACGGUCCAGACUCCUACGGGAGGCAGCAGUGGGGAAUAUUGGACAAUGGGCGCAAGCCUGAUCCAGCCAUGCCGCGUGGGUGAAGAAGGCCUUCGGGUUGUAAAGCCCUUUUGUUGGGAAAGAAAAACAGCAGGUUAAUCCCCCGCUGUUCUGACGGUACCCAAAGAAUAAGCACCGGCUAACUUCGUG
This 492-nucleotide ribosomal RNA is filed under the name uncultured bacterium. RNAcentral's name for it is "partial 16S ribosomal RNA". It matches the Rfam family "Bacterial small subunit ribosomal RNA", at positions 29 to 507 of the family's 1533-position model. The record is from RNAcentral.